CACAUGCCCUCUACUGGGGAGCCCUGCAACCCAGCAGAAACCACUCCAGGACAGAGCAUGACACAUCGUGAAGUUAUGAGACUAAACACAGCUUCAUAACUGUUGAGCCCGUGAAGUGACCCGUGAACCACUGGAACUCACCCAGCAUCUGUGGCAUCGGCUUCGUGCUGGGUCCUCUCCCCUGCUCCUUCCCAGCCCUGAGAAGCAGGGCGUCCAUUUUAUGAGGGAGAAAUUUCAACUCCAAAUGUUAAGAAACUUUCUCAAGUGAAACAACACCUUGAACCUACCUUCGUCCCAGCCCAGGGCCCUAAAAUAGCAAUCACCCUGGAAAACAAGACCAAUGAACAUUUACUGAAGAAAGAAAUCUGGUGAACGAUGAUGUGUUGCUGCCCAAGUGUUUGGCUGUAUGGUCUUGGGCAAGACAAUAAAUCGCUUUGCCUUAGGGUUUCUUUGCAACACAAAGAUAAUCCCAGCUAAUUCAAUGUGCAAUGAGAAAGCCAAUGCUGUGACUGGAAAAAAAUGACAUUGAUAUCACUAUUAAAGAGACAAAACACCUAGCACCCACACACAACUGGUGAUCAGUACGUAUCGGUUUUUUCCCAGGGUGUAGCUUUGUGGCAAAGCUGACCUCCUAAAAAAGAAAGUUAACUUGUCUAUAUCCAGAGGACAAAAGACCAAACAAACAAAAAAGCUAAAAAUACUGUUAUCUUUCAUUUUAGAAGUUUCAAAUACUAUGCGGAUUGCUUGCAUUUAUUUAUCUGUAAUUUCUGUUUCCUGCACAGGAAACUCAUUCCCAGGGAACUGGAAUGACAUGAAGGGACCGGCCUCCCUCGCAGGAGGCAAACACCAUCACCAGUUGUCUCAGGAGCAUGACCAUGGUCACACAUGCAUGUGCAUCCUCUCCUUGAAAUGCAGCACCUUCCACGCGUGGCCUGCACUGGCCUCCUUCUCUGACGACAGUGGUCCUGAACUGUCCAUGCAGAGCACAAUGACCACCACCUGCCUUUCAAAGGCUGUCUGCAUCCCGUCCCAGGAUUUCAUGAACUAUUAACCAGUCCUCUCCGCUUACCUUCCCAUCUUUACUGAGAAACACAUGAAUACACACAUCAUUUCCCACAGGGGCAAAUACAUUUCUACACUAUAGACCGAGAUGUAAAACCACUGAUCAAAAAUGUUUGCUAGCUCCUGGCCGGUGCCUUCUGCGGGAGGUGCACCAAUCCGAACCUGACCUGCAGUGCACGCAGGGGUCUACGUCCCACACCCUAACCCACGCAGUGCCAGAAGCUUCCAGAUUUUGUCAACAUGACAGCUGAAAAAUGCUUUCUUGUUGUAAUUUGUAAUUUUAAUUUGUACUUCUCUUAUUUUUAGUGAGCGUGAACAUCUCACGUUUACAAACUAUCUGUACUGAAUGAUUUGUAAUUACCCAUGCCCACUCAUGUUUCCAUUGAGUUGUAGGUCUUCUCUUACUGAUCUGUAGAAAGUAUUUUUAUAUAAAAGUAAUUAACCUUUUAUCUCUGA
Molecule: non-coding RNA, 1518 nt
Organism: Miniopterus natalensis
Lineage: Eukaryota; Metazoa; Chordata; Mammalia; Chiroptera; Miniopteridae
Source: RefSeq, a predicted model, not a curated record